UAAAGCAACAUCACUGCUCCUUCACUUCUCACUCAUUCACUGGAAAUAUGAUGGCACAAACUCUCAUCUGCUCUCUAACGCUUUUAUUUACAGGUUGUUUUGGUGAGAUUAUUCUCACUCAGAGUCCCACCGUUCAGAUGGUGUCAGUAGGAGAGAGCGUCACUCUCAACUGUAGAUCCAGCAGUUCAGUUUCUACUUAUUUAGCCUGGUAUCAUCAAAAACCUGGACAAACACCCAAACUCCUUUUCUCUAGUGUUGGUAGCCGAGUGUCUGGAGUGUCUGAGAGAUUUACUGAUGGAAGAUCAAACACAAACUUCAUGCUGAAUAUCAGAAAUGUUCAGACUGAAGAUGCAGGAGAUUAUUACUGUCAACAGCAUUAUGAGUUUCCACUCACAUAGUGAUACAGCGCCGUCCAAAAACCUCCUUCAGUCAAAGAGGAACUACAGACACACUAUAGUCUCUGUCAAUAUGAUAAAUAAACAGUUUUAACACUAACAUUUCACCCUCAACACUACUUCACCGUCGCCAUCAGACAAAAAUCUAUUUUUCAUAUUUUUUCCAUAAAAACGUUUGUCUGUGGGCUUUUAAUGUUUAACCAAUGAAAGUAUUAAAAGCUUGUCAGCUUUGACUUUGUUUAUUAAAAAAAUUACAAUGUUUUUGUGAUGAUAUGAAACUGUGUGUCCACAUUCAGAAAUGAUUCUUGAUAUUGUGUCAUUAAAGAUAA
Molecule: non-coding RNA, 724 nt
Organism: Triplophysa rosa
Lineage: Eukaryota; Metazoa; Chordata; Actinopteri; Cypriniformes; Nemacheilidae
Source: the annotation of a RefSeq genome assembly